This 213-nucleotide non-coding RNA is filed under the name Enterococcus aquimarinus. RNAcentral's name for it is "T-box sequence". It matches the Rfam family "T-box leader". Rfam says of the family: Uncharged tRNA acts as the effector for transcription antitermination of genes in the T-box leader family. Lineage: Bacteria; Bacillati; Bacillota; Bacilli; Lactobacillales; Enterococcaceae. The record is from RNAcentral.
AUCAAGACGUUGAACAAGAGGAGUAGCUAAAUCGUUGUUUUAAAGAGAGGGAAUCAUUUGCUGGAAGAUUCUCAACAUGAUUAGUGAAGGUAGCUUGGGAGUUUUUGAUUUGAAUUUGCAGUAAAAUCAAACGAAUCGUGAUCGUUAACUCACGCGUUAAGAGGUAGCAUAAGGCUACAAUUUAGGUGGUACCGCGUAAUUUACGUCCUAAGA